This is a long non-coding RNA of Chiroxiphia lanceolata (lance-tailed manakin), 5139 nucleotides long. RefSeq lists it as uncharacterized. The transcript is spliced from 2 exons. Lineage: Eukaryota; Metazoa; Chordata; Aves; Passeriformes; Pipridae. The record is from RefSeq and is a predicted model, not a curated record.
GCCCAUUCCAUAUGUCUGAUCACCCUUUCUGUGAAGAAGUUUCUCCUGAUGUCCAGCCUAAACCUCCCCUGGCAGAGAGCAGGGUUAAUGCUGUGUGUCUCAAGGUACCUCUGACUACCCUGAUGCUUUCUAGAGAAUAAUUUAUCUAAUUCAAGCUCCUUAUCUUUAGCUCCAAGGAACCCCAAGGCCUAGCCUGGAAGUCUCAAGGGCUCUAGGAGAAGAGCAGUAGCUGGCAGCCUCUCUGGGGUCUGCCUGAGCUAACAGAAGGAGUCUCCUGAAGCCAGAACCUUUGCCCCCUCUUUCUGAGUGCAAAUCUCCCUUUUCCGUUCUCAUAUUUUCUACUAUAUGGCUACUCUGGGGCAUGCGUAUAUUCCUCCUUAGCUGUCUCCUCCUCCCCAGGUCCUACCAAAUUAUAAAACAUUACCACAUAUGCCAUGCCUCCCCUGGGGGAGAGGGUGAGAGAAAGAGCAAACCGUGUGUGACAGAGGAGAGCCACAUCACUUCACACACUUCUCAGCGACACCAGAUAUGACAGUGAUAGAACUGAACAGGAAGAAAACCAGAAUCUCCAGACUGGCUCACUCUGUGCCAAUCUCCUCUUGUUCAUUUCCUUUCUGAGAUAAACAACCCCAAUCAUUUUGAUCUCUCUUUGUGAGCGAAUUUGCCAUGCCCCUAAUCAGCUCUUUCUGAGAAAGGCUUACUUGAACUGCAGACAGUAUUCCCAGAGAGUCCACGCUAGUGAUUUACAUAAUAGCAUUAUCAUAUUUUCCAUAUUAUUCUCCCCUUCUUCUUUCUGCAUGCUAAUAUUUUGUGUGCUUUUUUUUAACCUGCAGCUACUCACAGUAUCAGGGGUUGUGUGACAUCCAGAUUCUUUCUUGAGUUGCUAGAGAACAUCUGGAGCUUUGUUUUCUGACUUUGCACGUGCCCAGUUAAACCUUGGCAAAUGUGUGGUGUUGCCCAUUUGCCACAUUUGCAUUUUACUCAAUCCUUUCUGAUCUCCUCAAGAGUCAAUAGCUUUGAGUCAUUCUUCAAAAAUGUUUGGUAUAUUGCUCAUCUUUGUUUCCAGAUCAUCAGUUCAUAUACUGGGCAUUCCAGGACCUUGGAGGCAACGUUCAUAUUCCCUACCCUUAACCUGCUGCCAGAAUGAAAAUCAAUCUUUGAACUUUCCUCCCAGCUUCUUGCCUCCUCCUUGGUUUGUUAAUCCACAGAAAUACUUCACUCAACACAACAGGGUUCUGUCACCUCUGGGCAGGUGUGCUGAUGAGCCCAGUCUCCAAAACUCUCAAGUAUGGAUCAAAACUGGAGCAGCUCCAUGUGGCAACCCCCUGAUGUAUUACAAAUGGGAUCUGCUGGAUCAGGCUGCUCAGUGAUGGACUUCCCUUUCUGCCCUCCUUGCUGCCCUGCAGCCAAGGACUGCGGGCCUCCAUAAGUGCCCCCUCCCCAGCCUGGCCCCCUUGGCUUGUGCUUAUUUUGGUGUUUUUCUCCGUUCUUUUCCCCCUCAGGCUGUCUGCCAGCUCCCGGGCCCCUUGCCAGCAGCUGCAUGCGCGUGUUGUGAACUACUCCACCCACAUAAAACUGCCCCAGCCCCUCCAUGGAGGUCACUCUCUGUGCCCACUGCCCGAUGUGGACUCCCCACGCCUACACUGAACGAGUGUUCAACCUGCCCCUCCUGCCUUGUAAGGAGGAGGCCCUAUUUCUUCACUUUUCUCGAGAAAUCGCAAGGAUUAAUGACAUUUGGGCUCCUGCUCUCCAGCUGCAACAAGCCAGGAGGGGCAGAGGGCCAAGGGUGGCCACAUGGCUUCAUUUCCUGAACCCCCAGCAGCUUUGAUGCCGAGUGCAUGUGGAAAGGAAGAUGGAUGGUGAGGGAGGAGAGACCGCUGGUACGCAGCCACCUUUCAAGGAGCAUUCCUGAUUUACAGCCGAGACCCAGAUUUUAGUACAGACAGUAACUAUCCACCCUGGGGAGCCAUGCUCAUGGUAUGUUUUAGACAGGGCAAAGAAGGGAGAAGUCUUAGCCUUCCUGCAGCUGAAGUGGGUCUUUUCAGCUCCCCAGAUUCCAGCCCUGCAGCCCAAGGUGCUCGAACACUGCCAGCAGCAAGUGGUCUGUGUGAUGCAGAGCUGCUGCCCCUGCAAGGGGCUGCACAAGGUCACUGAGGAGGCUCAGUUUUAUUACCCAACAAAUUGAAAUUGCUGCUGUGGUAUUUUUACUAUUGGUCUGUGCCCACUUUCAUUCUUAGCACAACUCAUGUUUCUUCAACCAAAUUUCCCCAUGGUUGGGUUCGUUGGGGAUUUUUCUCGUUACCCCCGACUAAUAAAAUUCCAACCCCAUUUUUCACUUUGCACCAGCUGCAUGCUGCAGGAGAUUUACAGAGCCAUUCAGAGAUCCUGCUUUUGAGAGUGCUGUUAUCCUCCUGCAUCACUCCAACAGCCUCGUGGGCCUUCUACAGUGUAAGUGCCUGCAGAGAUCAGAGAGCUUGCAGCUGGUGGUACCACCUCAGGCUUUCUUGUGCUCCUUCACAUGCUGCAAUGAGGUUCUCCCAGUAUGAACGUGGGACUUUGGUUUGUGUAAGGCGUUAUCUGGACUCCCAGUUUCACAUGGGGUUUGGUCCCUUUUCACAGAUUAUUCUGAGCUGGAAGGGAACUGCAUCCAAUUCUUAAGGGAAUGGCCUGUACAGGGAUUGAACACAUGACCUUGGUGUUAUUGGCACCUCACUCUAACCAACUGAGCUAAUCUCAGGUAGCAAAGAAGGGGGCACCCGGAUUUGAGCCAGGGAUCUCUUGAUCUGCAGUCAAAUGCUCUACCACUGAGCUAUACCCCCCCUUUGUACAGACCUACAACCUGAGAAGGGCACAGCUACUAUAUCCUGCUGCUCCUCUUCUUUUUCCAGGUAAAGGCACCUAUUGCACAUCUUGUCUCAUUAAGUCACGGGUCCUUAGACAGAUUUAUUUCUGCCCCAUUUUGGGAAAUCUACCUGGUUUUGGUUUUGCAGUAGUCUGAUAUUUCACUUCUGGGUAACAGUUUGAGUCAAAUGCUUUAAAAACACUGCGAAGCAAACAGAAAUGGGUAGAUGUUUUCUACCUUCUUUUAUUUUCGUAUGUGUGCCUGGUUCUUAGUAAGUGUCUGAGGGGAAAAAAAAGAAAGAUAUGACUGAUGAUUUGUUGCUCUUUCUUUGGAAAAGGUCCAGACUAUAGAACAGGGCUAAAAUGCCAGGAAAGAGUUUGCUGCAUAGAGGCAGGCUUAUAUUAUUUGAUUUUAUACAUUCCCUGGGUAACAUAUUUUUUUUAAUUUGAGAUCCUGGAGAAGUCAUUUUAGAUCUUUAUUCAACACAGCUUAUUUGCUCCUCUUCUCAGUUUUCCUUAUUUUUAGAAAGGUGAAGCACGUUCCCAAAUUAAAUCAUUUCUGGGAUGGACCUCAGCCAAGAGGAUCCAUGGUUCAAGCCAUAAGGCACAGGAAACAUAAGAGUAGAACAAUGGAGUUUUGUAUUGUGUUUCGUUUGGCAGGGUGAGGAGAGAUAUGGUCUUGAAAGAUUUGCAGUCUUACAUAGCUAUAGUAUAUUUCAAAAGACAGUAAGGACUAUUUUCACUUCUCACUUCGCUUAAAAAAAUUAAGCACACCCAGAAAUGCUAGAAAUGUGGGAUUGCCAGAUUCUCCUUAGUUCCAAGAAAAGGUUUGUGCUUACAGUAACAUCCCAAAUAUUAGCUGAAGUGGGCUGAUCCUCUACCCUUUUGCUGAUGUGCUUGUCCCUGCUGCAGCUACCAAGGCAGAGCUUGCAGCAGCCUGGCCCCAAGCCAGGCUCCUCUCCCUAGCGUCCAUGGAUUAUAUUCCUUAUGUCAGCCUCUCAUUUCAGUGACCCGGAGAUCCUUCUCCAGAUGGGACAGUUUUGCACAGCUCCUCUGAGGUUGUUUUGCAGUGACAGAGCAAAGCCCUGCAAAGCUCGCUCCCAGGUGAAAGUUUGACACACGGUGCCCGUGAGCCACAAGAACAUGUGCCACUGCCAGGGAGCAAGAACGUGCCUCCCUUCUGCCAUGGCUGUGGCCAAAUCCCCUCUGUCACAGUGCUCUGGAAAGCAGGGCAGCCAGUGCCUGCAGCUGCGGGCAUGUGAGCAUGAAGCCAUUUGCUGGUGACGCUCUCUGGGGCUGGGAUGACUCUCCCUGGCUGCUCCAUGGGCUGCCUGCCAGCCAGCUGAGACCUCACUGCUCCCCCAGCUGAGCCACUAAAGCAGCAAGAUUUAAAAACAUAAUAUAAAACUGGACUAAUAAUUAAAAAUUAACUGUCCCUGCUAAACAGCAUAUUAAAAUGUAUCCUUACACAGGGAACAAAUGUCUCCGAGCAACAAAAGCAAACAACCAGCAAGCCAGGGUCUGGUAUCUCCUUUCCAGCUUUCUGAAAGGGUAAGUUUAUAUUGAAGUCACUUUUUUUCCAAGCACCUUGGUGUUUGGAAACAGCACGUCAAUUCCCGUACCAGCUAACCUGCUGCAGGCAUCGACUGAGAGUCAGCUGGAGCCAGACCCUCCAGGAGCCAGGGAUGGAGAGUCCGUCACGGCCUUGGUUCCCAUCAAGCAGUGUCGCAUGGUGCCCGUGAUGAGCACCACAAAUCUCUGAACAACAGUGAGAGCUUCAGGGGAACAACUUAUUUCCAAGGCACGUCACGCCAGAGCUCCUCCACGAUCCAUCGCCCCAUCUGACAUCUGCUGGGGCACUGCAAUUCUGCAAAACACAAGAUUUACGUAGCGUUGGAUGGUUUGCACGCUCCUGGUUCAAUUUGGUGCUUAAGGCUCCAUAUCCACAUCUAGGAUGCAUCUAGAUCCCUUUUGGCAUGUUGAAGGACCCUCUGAGAGAUGGUAUAUAGGGCUGGUGGUGGAGCCACAUGCUCCCUGCACUCUGCUGACCAUCAGCACUGCUCCUGCAAAUGAGGGUCUCCACAGCAGACUGUUUGCCCAAGAGUCAACCCUUCUCUCAAAGACUCCUGCAGCAAAAGCUUGUGCUUUCUGGGGAAAAAUGUCCUGGGUUCAGUCAAUGCCUUCUUUUAAAACCUUGCAAGAAACUAAAGAAAUGCCAUUUAGGUUACUUCUUAAAAUAAUAUAAAUAUCAGUGAAGAUUUUGUGUUGGAAGCAAUUAAAAUAACGUGGGAGAACCUU